This is a long non-coding RNA of Drosophila simulans, 3486 nucleotides long. RefSeq lists it as uncharacterized. NCBI's taxonomy places the organism in Eukaryota, Metazoa, Arthropoda, Insecta, Diptera, Drosophilidae. The record is from RefSeq and is a predicted model, not a curated record. The transcript has 4 exons.
UGUAGAGUUAUUCCCAUAAGUAGCAUGGGCAUUCGAAGUCGAUGUCUUGGAUCACCAAUAAUACCAGAACUACUCAUACGUGUAACCCCCAUCUAAUCCGCUAACCGUUCAUUCACAGUCAGCGAAGAAGGUUCCCCACCAAAACCCAAAAAAAAAACCAAGUUGAGACGACAUGACAGGCGCGAAGACAGAGACAGCCACACGUUUUUAAUCAAAAUUGUACAGGAAAUCAAAAAUCAGUUUUUCAAAAAAUAAAAAUCACAGUUUCUUAUCGCGAUGUUGAUUUGUGGCUGCCGUUUGUUGUUCUUCUCGUCUCAACUUAUUUUGUUAUUGUUUUUUUUCCCUCGGUUCUUUUUUUUUACCCCAAUUGCUUGGCCCAUCGGAAAUUUUGGGUUGGCAGGGCCGUUGUGGCAUGUAAUUUGAGGAAAGCAGCGCCGAAAGCAAACGCAGUAGCUAUGAAAUCAAUUAUGCGAUAAAGAUUUGACAGCACAACGCACUGAGCUGCGCUGCUGCUGGCACUCGAUAAUUAAUUUUAACGCUUUAUCGCAAUUGGAGGUGCGCCUUAUGGAAGGGGCCUUAACUUUAAGGUGGGGAUCGGGAUCCGAAAGAUAGUAGCUGCCGAUAGCCGUCCGAUUUGAUUGAAGUCUGUCCAGCAGGGGCUACGUCUCUAAUCUGUGACACAAUUGGUAAGAAGUUAUGAGUGUGCCUAUGAAUUUAUUAGAGGCCUUUCCUUACCAUCAUAUCCCCUGUACAUUGGGUAAAUACAUGGAUUUUGGUGCGUUUGCUGGGGACGGUGAGCGAUGCUUUCCCAAGAUAUGCAAACGAACUCAAUUAUUUAUUUUAUCACAAAUGAUUUUGCUUAUCAAAUCUAGCAAUCGCUUCAUCUUUGUCUCAGCCAGAAAACCACAAUGACGAAGGGCAGCAGAAGACCUUUCUCAGGCCCAAAGAAUCCACUCCACUCCACUCCACUCGUCUGCCCUUCUUGAGUUUUUCUUACAAUUGCUUGGGUUCGGUCCUGAUUGAGGCCGCCAUUAUUCAAGGAGCCCAGCCAAGCUCCUUGUCCCGCUCUCUCCAUCUCUCUUGCUCUCUCUCUCUCUCUCUCCCUCUGUUUCGGUGGCAUCUUUUUGGCGCUAUCUUUGCGUUGAAAUCUCCACAGUUCAUGUCAAAUUUCUUGUGUUUUUAUAUAUCAUUCGACUGGCUGUGGCUUCCUUGUAAGUAUGUAAAUGCAGCAACGGCCGCUGGCAGCAGCUGCAUUUUGCAUGCCCCUCCACAUCGAAAUCCUCGGAUCCUAACCCAUGCCCCCCUCCAUAGCCCCGUUCCAGCUUUGAGUGAUUGUCAGGGGUUUAUCUUUUGAUGGGGCCUGGCUUCUGUUGCCAGAGAUACAGUACAUGUAUCUGUAUCUGCGACGGAGGCUUGUUAAUUAAGUUUCAAGCAGGUUUCGUCUGGGCGUUGCUCGAAAGUCAAUUUUUAGCACCUAUUGACAUGCAAAGGACCCGCAUGCCACACACCCAAACCGUUCCACAAAUUCCGAGGGCUUCAGACACAAGCAAAGAUAGUGAUGGGAAAAGUACUGAUUAUACAGAUACAAACGAAAACUGCAGUUUGGAUUUGGGCCCCAGGAAAGCAAAUCAAUCAAUUCAACACGCAAAGUUGUUGCCGAUAAUUUCUCUAUUUUGACUCGACCGAAGACGAGAAGACGAGGGGCAAUAAAUAAUAACUCAAUACAAAUCCCAAUUACAGGACGAUUGCCACCCGCCUUGCCGGAAUCGAGGAGCCAGGACCAACGACCAAGGACGAGGGUAACACAGACCAACCCUCUGAGCAUGGGCCAAAGCAGAGCAAAGCAAGGCAAAGCGAAUCCUGGCCGCCUUCGAUUGUCCUUUUUGCCACCCGUACAUAUAUCUGUGUGUGUUCCCUUCAUUUGAUUCGAUCAGCGGGGUUUCGCCUCCAUCAACCACAAAAACAACCAAGGCCAAGGACUGACGGCAUAGCCAGAGGGUUUCCCCUUCCAUACCCUCCAGUCGAGUCGAUUUCGGGCUUAUCCUGCAACCGGCACAUAAAUCGUCGGGCUGCUCCUGCUUCUCCUUUAUUUAAAUUUUCAUUUAAUUUGUUAUUUGUUUACAUGAAACACACCGAUGUGCGACGACAGCGACGGAGGCGACAUAUGACAACAUUCUCAGCCGGUCACAAUUGCCAUUGUCUGAGUGUAGGACUCGAUCGAAGGGAGGGGGGUGAGCGUUUGGGUCAGGACCCCGGCGUGGUAGUGGUCAACGUCAUCUAUUGUGACCACACACCUGGCCGGUGAGCGGAGGAGGAUGGGUCAGUCGUGGGCCACUGUUUGGCAACAGUUCCUAAUUGCUGCAUUCAAAUGGUGACUCCAUUGUGGAGGAGGCACGUAAAUUCCGGGGCGGGAACAGAAGCUUGGCAAAUUAAUUCCUCGGAGACCGAAAACACAUAGCUCCACAGGGCAACAAACUAUUUAUGCAAAUCAGCAGAGAAACCCCAUUUUGUGAGCCCCACCCCGGAGCAUUUAACGCAGUUUAAGCUCACCCGAGCAAAGUAGUUCAGUUCAACGGAGGGCAGCCAAACUGGCCACAUACCCAUAGAUGUAUUCAAAAAUCUUCCCAGCGAUAAGCCGGAGACCAUAAAUACGACAUCCGAGCGACGAUCUUCGGCGAAUUAGCGGCGCGGAGAUCGGGCCUGGGGUAUCUGGACAGCAUCUCUAACAAAUUAAGUGGACAACCAUAAAUCAAAUGGCUGACGACGAAUUUCGAAUGAAAAAUCAAUAAGCAGAAAACUCUAUUCGCUGCGAGGGAGUGGGGCACCUAAAUCAGAAACCGAAUUCCGUAUUGGAGUUCCAAAUCGAAUACGGAUUCGGAAUGGGAAUGGGGCUCGGAGAUCUGUGGCCAAGCAGCGAGCUGCGUGUUUAACAACAAACAAUUAAGAUGGCGUCCAAUCGAUAAGGGCCCUAAAACCAGAGACACAGAAAACGCAGCCAGGAAAGGGUACCAAAUCGUCAGCAAGCAGUUAACAGAAGUCGUGGCCAAUGGGCGCUGAUGAAACAAAUGGACCAUAAUGAAAUAAUUAUGACUGCGCUUGGGCAUCGGACAUGGCCUAUGAUAGACCUGCCUUCGUUUCCAUCCAAAGACGCAUUCAAAACCAGCUCUCUGAUUGAGGCUCCAAAACAAUGCCAGGCACUUUAUCAGCCAACCGAUCGAAUCGUGGCGACUCGCUCGCUGCCAAAGGAUAUGCUUGUGUUUUUGCUUAUCGACGUCUUGGCAUCUGCCAGCGCGAUGCCAGUUGAUGGACUUUGAUUGCCGCUUUUGGCCAUGCGUGAUAUUUAUUUGUUAGUUGACACAAAACGCUGAUUGCUGGACCAGAGCACAGUGGUCGAGAGAUGGCAGAAAUCGAAUAAAAAAAUUCCGAUUAUUUGUCUUUUGUUGGGACAACAUUAAUAGUUUCGUGCAACACCUUUAGCUGAAUUCC